RNAcentral lists this small RNA (24 nucleotides) under Arabidopsis thaliana (thale cress). RNAcentral's name for it is "Ath_wt_17932". Lineage: Eukaryota; Viridiplantae; Streptophyta; Magnoliopsida; Brassicales; Brassicaceae. The record is from RNAcentral.
GGGCUCGGGGGUCCCAGUUCCGAA